RNAcentral lists this ribosomal RNA (505 nucleotides) under uncultured bacterium. RNAcentral's name for it is "partial 16S ribosomal RNA". It matches the Rfam family "Bacterial small subunit ribosomal RNA", at positions 28 to 507 of the family's 1533-position model. The record is from RNAcentral.
GACGAACGCUGGCGGCGUGCCUAAUACAUGCAAGUAGAACGCACAGUUUAUACCGUAGCUUGCUACUCCAUAGACUGUGAGUUGCGAACGGGUGAGUAACGCGUAGGUAACCUGCCUGGUAGCGGGGGAUAACUAUUGGAAACGAUAGCUAAUACCGCAUAAUAUUAAUUAUUGCAUGAUAAUUAAUUGAAAGGUGCAAUUGCACCACUACCAGAUGGACCUGCGUUGUAUUAGCUAGUAGGUGAGGUAACGGCUCACCUAGGCGACGAUACAUAGCCGACCUGAGAGGGUGAUCGGCCACACUGGGACUGAGACACGGCCCAGACUCCUACGGGAGGCAGCAGUAGGGAAUCUUCGGCAAUGGACGAAAGUCUGACCGAGCAACGCCGCGUGAGUGAAGAAGGUUUUCGGAUCGUAAAGCUCUGUUGUAAGAGAAGAACGGGUGUGAGAGUGGAAAGUUCACACUGUGACGGUAUCUUACCAGAAAGGGACGGCUAACUACGUG